AUUUUCUCCUUCUAGAAUACACAACUCUCGGUGAUUUCCUUCUACGAAGUGGAUUACAGCUUCGAUCUGCCGUAUCUGCAAAAAUCCAUUGCCGAAUCACAUGCCGCCCUCAAGUCAAUUGUUCAACGCCCCCUCACCGACAAGUCUUUAAAUCGCAUCGAUGAAGUAUUUGAUUUUUUUGGUGAUGCUUCACUCCUUGAAACCGCCUUCAAACCCGAUUCGCCAUAUCGUGAAUUAAUGGGAAAAAUCGUCAGCGAUAUUAAUACUGCCAUGGAAACAGGAGAUAUGUAAACUCAUCACAUCUCUCGUCCAAAGGACUGCAAAGUACAGAAAAGUCCGAAAUAUGCGCGUGUGUGCGUGUAAAGGCAAAUAGUGAAAGGCUUAAAUGAUAUCUAGGUCAUUAGAGAAUUGCAACAACAAACCAAAAAUAAAGUAAUGUAAUAAAUUAAAGAACUUUUAUCGAAUACGCUUGUUUUAAUUUAUAUGUAUGUAAUAAAAUAAAAAGAAACCUGUCGAUCGAUGAUGAUAACGGCAAAAUAAUGAAAUGCGCACUGUGUUGUAUUGUGAAGUGUUUGAUGAUGGCGUUCAUGACGAUGAUGAUGAUGAUGUAGAUGUCGCAUGAUUGUGCUAAUAAUGCACGUAGAUACAUUGUAUUUUUGAUGCUAUUGUCUAAGCAUUCUAAUGUUAACGUCGUUAUUGAUAAUGACCAAUGAUAGCACUGACGAUAAUAUUUAUUAUAUAGAACUAGCAAAUCUGACAAUUGAAUUUUUUAUCGAUUGUUUUUCUAUAGUGAUAUUAAGUAAAAAAAAAAAAAUAUAUAAGCACAGAAAAUCUUAAAGCAAAGAAUUUGCGGCAGUGCUGAACAAGAAACAAAUAAAAUGAAUGUAAAUGAAAAGAAAGUGAGAGAUACAUAUGUACAUUAGGGUGGUCUUUAAAAAUCAAAUGUACGAUUUCUUCCAGUAUCAUCCCUUCAAUCGGUAAUAGCACUGUCGCAGAUAUCACAUAUAAAUUUUGGUCCCGAUUGGAGACGGUUGAGGCGUGUCGCACAGGG
This is a long non-coding RNA of Rhagoletis zephyria (snowberry fruit fly), 1051 nucleotides long. RefSeq lists it as uncharacterized. Lineage: Eukaryota; Metazoa; Arthropoda; Insecta; Diptera; Tephritidae. The record is from RefSeq and is a predicted model, not a curated record.